RNAcentral lists this ribosomal RNA (800 nucleotides) under uncultured bacterium. Its description in RNAcentral is "bacterial SSU rRNA". It matches the Rfam family "Bacterial small subunit ribosomal RNA", at positions 8 to 821 of the family's 1533-position model. The record is from RNAcentral.
AGAGUUUGAUCCUGGCUCAGGAUGAACGCUGGCGACGUGCUUAACACAUGCAAGUCGAACGAUGAUCCCAGCUUGCUGGGGGAUUAGUGGCGAACGGGUGAGUAACACGUGAGUAACCUGCCCUUAACUCUGGGAUAAGCCUGGGAAACUGGGUCUAAUACCGGAUAUGACUCCUCAUCGCAUGGUGGGGGGUGGAAAGCUUUAUUGUGGUUUUGGAUGGACUCGCGGCCUAUCAGCUUGUUGGUGAGGUAAUGGCUCACCAAGGCGACGACGGGUAGCCGGCCUGAGAGGGUGACCGGCCACACUGGGACUGAGACACGGCCCAGACUCCUACGGGAGGCAGCAGUGGGGAAUAUUGCACAAUGGGCGAAAGCCUGAUGCAGCGACGCCGCGUGAGGGAUGACGGCCUUCGGGUUGUAAACCUCUUUCAGUAGGGAAGAAGCGAAAGUGACGGUACCUGCAGAAGAAGCGCCGGCUAACUACGUGCCAGCAGCCGCGGUAAUACGUAGGGCGCAAGCGUUAUCCGGAAUUAUUGGGCGUAAGGAGCUCGUAGGCGGUUUGUCGCGUCUGCCGUGAAAGUCCGGGGCUCAACUCCGGAUCUGCGGUGGGUACGGGCAGACUAGAGUGAUGUAGGGGAGACUGGAAUUCCUGGUGUAGCGGUGAAAUGCGCAGAUAUCAGGAGGAACACCGAUGGCGAAGGCAGGUCUCUGGGCAUUAACUGACGCUGAGGAGCGAAAGCAUGGGGAGCGAACAGGAUUAGAUACCCUGGUAGUCCAUGCCGUAAACGUUGGGCACUAGGU